Molecule: non-coding RNA, 127 nt
Organism: Podarcis lilfordi (Lilford's wall lizard)
Lineage: Eukaryota; Metazoa; Chordata; Lepidosauria; Squamata; Lacertidae
Source: the annotation of a GenBank genome assembly
UCCUUCCAGUAGCACCUUAGAGACCAACUAAGUUUGUUAUUGGUAUGAGCUUUUGUGUGCAUGCAUGCACACGAAAGCUCAUACCAAUAACAAACUUAGUUGGUCUCUACGGUGCUACUGGAAGGAA